Non-coding RNA from Roridomyces roridus, 71 nucleotides. NCBI's taxonomy places the organism in Eukaryota, Fungi, Basidiomycota, Agaricomycetes, Agaricales, Mycenaceae. The record is from the annotation of a GenBank genome assembly.
GGUCACGUAGCUCAAUGGUUAGAGCAACUCACAUGAAUUGGGUGAUCUGGGUUCGAGUCCCAGUGAGACCA